AUCAGGCUAAUGUGGUUGUUCCCUACAGAUCCUGGGUGAACCGAAGGAGAACCGGAAGCUGGCCGCAGAGAUCAGCCUCCAGAACCCUCUGCCAGAGCCGCUGGACAACUGCUGCUACAGCAUUGAGGGGGCCAACCUCACUGGGGGAAACAUCAUCUCUGAGAGGUUGGGCUGCACGGUGGGACCAGGGGAAGACGCCAAAGUCAAAAUCUACUUCACUCCGACCCAUUCUGGCUUGAGAAAACUGGUCGUCGACUUCGAUAGCAACAAGUUGUGUCACGUCAAGGGCUACAGGAAUGUCAUUAUUGGAAAAUGAGGUGUUAUAUAGACCUGAAGGUGGAAACAUAUUCCAUCUGUUUUUCCAUCAUGCUUUUCCAAGCAAAUUUACACUCUUUUAUUUCUACCGACUUAAAAAAAAGCUUUUAUUCUCAUGUAUUUUCUUUCUCUUCUUUUCUUAUAUCAUUCAUUUAAGCUUCCUGUUGUGAGAAAAAAAAAUAUAAGUUAGUAGAGAACUUUGUUAAUCAAGGCAUAUAUUUUAAAGUCUAUUUGUAUUCUUCUCAGUCUGAAGCGAUGAUUAGCAUCACUUCAGAUGCUAAUAGGGCUUAACUUUUUUUUUUUAAAGUUCUACAAUAAAACUCCUGUCUACAACAAAUAAAGAAUUGUGAGAGCUUGAACACAGAUUUUACAAGAGUGACAACUGUUGCAGCAUCUCAUGUAUAUACAUUUUGAUUGUAUCUUGGGAACAGUGAAAUAAAUACGAAUCAUCAUCUGA
Poecilia latipinna (sailfin molly) is the source of this 772-nucleotide long non-coding RNA. RefSeq lists it as uncharacterized. The record is from RefSeq and is a predicted model, not a curated record. The transcript has 2 exons. NCBI's taxonomy places the organism in Eukaryota, Metazoa, Chordata, Actinopteri, Cyprinodontiformes, Poeciliidae.